Molecule: ribosomal RNA, 207 nt
Filed under: uncultured bacterium
Lineage: Bacteria
Description: partial 16S ribosomal RNA
Rfam family: Bacterial small subunit ribosomal RNA
Source: RNAcentral
CGUGUAGGCGGACUCGCAAGUCGGUUGUGAAAUCCCUGGGCUCAACCUAGGAACUGCAUCCGAAACUGCUUGUCUUGAGUAAUGGAGAGGGUGGCGGAAUUCCCGGUGUAGAGGUGAAAUUCGUAGAUAUCGGGAGGAACAUCAGUGGCGAAGGCGGCCACCUGGACAUUUACUGACGCUGAGACGCGAAAGCGUGGGGAGCAAACA